This 391-nucleotide ribosomal RNA is filed under the name uncultured bacterium. Its description in RNAcentral is "bacterial SSU rRNA". It matches the Rfam family "Bacterial small subunit ribosomal RNA", at positions 28 to 417 of the family's 1533-position model. The record is from RNAcentral.
GAUGAACGCUGGCGGCAUGCUUUACACAUGCAAGUCGAACGGCAGCACGGGGGCAACCCUGGUGGCGAGUGGCGAACGGGUGAGUAACACAUCGGAACGUGCCCAGUUGUGGGGGAUAACCUAUCGAAAGGUAGGCUAAUACCGCAUGAGCUCGGCAAGAGGAAAGCGGGGGACUCAGCGAUGGGCCUCGCGCGACUGGAGCGGCCGAUGUCCGAUUAGCUAGUUGGGGGGUAAAGGCUUACCAAGGCGACGAUCGGUAGCUGGUCUGAGAGGAUGAUCAGCCACACUGGGACUGAGACACGGCCCAGACUCCUACGGGAGGCAGCAGUAGGGAAUCUUGGACAAUGGGCGCAAGCCUGAUCCAGCCAUGCCGCGUGAGUGAAGAAGGCCU